Molecule: ribosomal RNA, 902 nt
Filed under: Bacillus licheniformis
Lineage: Bacteria; Bacillati; Bacillota; Bacilli; Caryophanales; Bacillaceae
Description: bacterial SSU rRNA
Rfam family: Bacterial small subunit ribosomal RNA
Source: RNAcentral
GGGGCUGCGGCUGCUAUACAUGCAAGUCGAGCGGACCGACGGGAGCUUGCUCCCUUAGGUCAGCGGCGGACGGGUGAGUAACACGUGGGUAACCUGCCUGUAAGACUGGGAUAACUCCGGGAAACCGGGGCUAAUACCGGAUGCUUGAUUGAACCGCAUGGUUCAAUUAUAAAAGGUGGCUUCGGCUACCACUUACAGAUGGACCCGCGGCGCAUUAGCUAGUUGGUGAGGUAACGGCUCACCAAGGCAACGAUGCGUAGCCGACCUGAGAGGGUGAUCGGCCACACUGGGACUGAGACACGGCCCAGACUCCUACGGGAGGCAGCAGUAGGGAAUCUUCCGCAAUGGACGAAAGUCUGACGGAGCAACGCCGCGUGAGUGAUGAAGGUUUUCGGAUCGUAAAACUCUGUUGUUAGGGAAGAACAAGUACCGUUCGAAUAGGGCGGCACCUUGACGGUACCUAACCAGAAAGCCACGGCUAACUACGUGCCAGCAGCCGCGGUAAUACGUAGGUGGCAAGCGUUGUCCGGAAUUAUUGGGCGUAAAGCGCGCGCAGGCGGUUUCUUAAGUCUGAUGUGAAAGCCCCCGGCUCAACCGGGGAGGGUCAUUGGAAACUGGGGAACUUGAGUGCAGAAGAGGAGAGUGGAAUUCCACGUGUAGCGGUGAAAUGCGUAGAGAUGUGGAGGAACACCAGUGGCGAAGGCGACUCUCUGGUCUGUAACUGACGCUGAGGCGCGAAAGCGUGGGGAGCGAACAGGAUUAGAUACCCUGGUAGUCCACGCCGUAAACGAUGAGUGCUAAGUGUUAAAGGGUUUCCGCCCUUUAGUGCUGCAGCAAACGCAUUAAGCACUCCGCCUGCGGAGUACGGUCGCCAGACUGAAACUCAAAGGAAUUGACGGGGG